UGCUUCACCGCCUUGCGUUCAUCAACUACGGUCAGACUUUGUUGCCUGUCGGGACAGGCACUGAACGCGCAAAGUUGUCGGCAACUGCGAAGUUCAUGGAUCAGACUCUAGGUGAGCCCGACAUUGCAAACCCAACACUCAAAUACUCUUCUUCUCGAACUCACUCUCAGGUUCAAAGAUUGGUGAUGAUUUUUCACUAUGGCUCUUGAGACGCGAAGUGGUGGUGCUGAUUUGAAGUUCGCGAUUUUGGAUUUAGGGUUUAUUUGCAGGUUUGAUUUGCGACUAAAGCUAACAACUUCAACAGGAAAAUCUUGCGGGCCAAAAAGGUUUCUCCUUUCUCUCUCUUUCUCCCCUUCAUAUUGUUAAACUAGUGUCUGUAUUGUCUUGUGUUGCAGAGAACCUGGAGCUGACCAAAAGUUUAAAGAAAUCAACAACGCAUAUGAGGUGUUAUCAGAUGAUGAGAAACGAUCCAUAUAUGACAGAUUUGGAGAGGCUGGACUUAAACGUUCUGGAAUGGGGACGGGGUAAGUUACCUUUGAUGAUGUAUGAUUUAAUUUUUUAUUCUCGUUUCUCAACGAAGGAUUUCUCUGUUAUGCCAAGAUUUCAGCAAUCUAUUUGAUCUGUUCGAAUCAUUGUUUGAAGGCAUGAAUCGCAGUGCAGGCUCCAGAGGUUCUUGUAACGAUGCAAUUGAUGGUGUCGUGGGCAAAACCUGUUUGCUUAUUUCCUACACCAGCAA
Molecule: long non-coding RNA, 736 nt
Organism: Vigna angularis (adzuki bean)
Lineage: Eukaryota; Viridiplantae; Streptophyta; Magnoliopsida; Fabales; Fabaceae
Exons: 3
Source: RefSeq, a predicted model, not a curated record